CCUGAACUGGGCAUUUACCCCAUCUUUAAAUUCUCCAUGUUGCAUUUAGUAGUGCUGAUGCUUUGAUUUACGAGCUGCAGCUUGUCUGGCAGGUGCUGCAGCUGGCCAAAGCCUGCAGCUUCUCCUUCAGCGGCCAACCAGGGUUUAAUUGUUGCAUUGCUCAAUUCUCAGCUGAGCUGACAAAAAGUUUGCAGCAGUCAGCCUAAGCGAUAAGGCUGAUUGAUUGAGUUUAUGGGAGUUCUGUCUAUGCGUCUCCGAUAAAGCCUGCAGAAAGCAUGCAGGCUUGACUCCUCCCCUGAAUAAGAAACUCUGGAGACAGAGGCUUUGAAGGAAGCAGYAUUUAAAGCUGUGGGUAGUUACCAGCUGCCUUCACUAAAUGGAGYCCUUUUCUCACAUGUGGUGAAUGGAAGAAGUGACUGAGAUUUGCAUUUUUGGCUGGYGCUGGCUAAGAGGCAAGAAGCAGCACAGCAACUCAAACAGAAACAGCAGGUCUGCGGCUCUGAGCACGGGGGAGGAAGGGGAAGCAGCGAGCACAUCGGCGAGGGGAAGGAUGUAACUAUGUGUCACAGGGUGACUUUGUCUAGCAGGACCUACCUCCCAAGCCAAGCCCCACCAGUGGGCUGGAAAAGGCCUGGAAAAAACCCAGAGACUUCCAAAACAAACAAGAAAAGAGGCUCACUUGAUCAGUCUGAGUGCCAGCCCCACCCUGGGGUGUGGAAUAAACACAGGUGUACCUACCAUCAGUGGGAUGACAUGAAUUUGUGUUUCCCGACUAGGAAACCUACGCGGUCCCAGAGACAAGCCACUGCAGGAUACGUUGCUUCUUACCAGCCAUAA
Molecule: long non-coding RNA, 837 nt
Filed under: Apteryx rowi (Okarito brown kiwi)
Lineage: Eukaryota; Metazoa; Chordata; Aves; Apterygiformes; Apterygidae
Description: lncRNA (ENSARWG00000001129.1)
Source: RNAcentral